AAGAAACGUUCAUUUUGGGCGCUUAAGCAUCUCCCUUCGGCUUGGGUCAUGAUCCCAGGGUCCUAGAUAGAGGCCUACAUCAGUCUCCCUUCUCAGGGGGGAGUCUGCUUGUCCCUCUCCCUCUGCCCC
Mustela erminea (ermine) is the source of this 129-nucleotide long non-coding RNA. RefSeq lists it as uncharacterized. The transcript is spliced from 3 exons. The record is from RefSeq and is a predicted model, not a curated record. NCBI's taxonomy places the organism in Eukaryota, Metazoa, Chordata, Mammalia, Carnivora, Mustelidae.